ACCAAUUCUAGUGGAUUUCAAUGGGUUCCUCUAGGCAUAAUGGCUCGGGCGCUACAUUAAAUUUAUGUGGCUAUCCUGGUCUUUGGCUUGAUUUAUGGGUGCCAUUUGAUCCUGGAAACACCACAUAUAUUC
Molecule: small nucleolar RNA, 132 nt
Organism: Phoenix dactylifera (date palm)
Lineage: Eukaryota; Viridiplantae; Streptophyta; Magnoliopsida; Arecales; Arecaceae
Source: RefSeq, a predicted model, not a curated record